RNAcentral lists this ribosomal RNA (329 nucleotides) under uncultured bacterium. RNAcentral's name for it is "bacterial SSU rRNA". It matches the Rfam family "Bacterial small subunit ribosomal RNA", at positions 568 to 898 of the family's 1533-position model. The record is from RNAcentral.
UCCGUAGGCGGUGCGGCAAGUCGGAAGUGAAAUCUCUGGGCUUAACUCAGAGGCUGCUUCCGAAACUGCCGUGCUCGAGUGUGAGAGAGGCGAGUGGAAUUACGGGUGUAGCGGUGAAAUGCGUAGAUAUCCGUAGGAACAUCCGAGGCGAAAGCGGCUCGCUGGAUCACAACUGACGCUGAGGGACGAAAGCUAGGGGAGCAAACAGGAUUAGAUACCCUGGUAGUCCUAGCCCUAAACCAUCAGGACUUGGGUUUGCCCUGUACGGGGCAAGUCCCGGAGCUAACGCGUUAAGUCCUGCGCCUGGGGAGUACGGUCGCAAGGCUGAA